This 484-nucleotide ribosomal RNA is filed under the name uncultured bacterium. Its description in RNAcentral is "partial 16S ribosomal RNA". It matches the Rfam family "Bacterial small subunit ribosomal RNA", at positions 29 to 507 of the family's 1533-position model. The record is from RNAcentral.
AUUGGACGCUGGCGGCAUGCUUUACACAUGCAAGUCGAACGGCAGCGCGGGCUUCGGCCUGGCGGCGAGUGGCGAACGGGUGAGUAAUACAUCGGAACGUGCCCAGUAGUGGGGGAUAGCUCGGCGAAAGCCGGAUUAAUACCGCAUACGACCUGAGGGUGAAAGCGGGGGAUCUUCGGACCUCGCGCUAUUGGAGCGGCCGAUGGCAGAUUAGCUAGUUGGUGGGGUAAAGGCCUACCAAGGCGACGAUCUGUAGCUGGUCUGAGAGGACGACCAGCCACACUGGGACUGAGACACGGCCCAGACUCCUACGGGAGGCAGCAGUGGGGAAUUUUGGACAAAGGGCGAAAGCCUGAUCCAGCAAUGCCGCGUGUGUGAUGAAGGCCUUCGGGUUGUAAAGCACUUUUGGCGGGAACGAAAAGGACUGUGCCAAUACCACGGUUCGAUGACGGUACCCGCAGAAUAAGCACCGGCUAACUACGUG